This 253-nucleotide ribosomal RNA is filed under the name uncultured bacterium. RNAcentral describes it as "partial 16S ribosomal RNA". It matches the Rfam family "Bacterial small subunit ribosomal RNA", at positions 524 to 776 of the family's 1533-position model. The record is from RNAcentral.
UACGUAGGGGGCAAGCGUUGUCCGGAAUUACUGGGCGUAAAGCGUGCGCAGGCGGCUUUGCAAGACAGAUGUGAAAUCCCCGGGCUUAACCUGGGAACUGCAUUUGUGACUGCAUGGCUAGAGUGCGGCAGAGGGGGAUGGAAUUCCGCGUGUAGCAGUGAAAUGCGUAGAUAUGCGGAGGAACACCGAUGGCGCAGGCAAUCCCCUGGGCCUGCACUGACGCUCAUGCACGAAAGCGUGGGGAGCAAACAGG